GCCCGCUCUCCUGGCAUCGGCCGUGCCAGCCUUCUACCAUCUCUAGUGGUCUUACAUCUGUGUCUGAAACCAAGUUCGUUGUUUUCUCGUGCUCCUCUACCUCUUCCUAGUUUAUCCCUGGCACCAUUUACCUACCCCCAGGGUUCAGGACUAGUUCGCAUGCAAAGAAAGCCAGGUAGAUGCCAUCUCGAGGAUCGGUGCUGCCGAAGGGCCAGCCAGGCCUGCUGGCUGCCUGCCAGGUAGGCCUCGGGGCUGGGUCCUCCACCCCGAAGAGUGCUGA
Phascolarctos cinereus (koala) is the source of this 280-nucleotide non-coding RNA. The record is from RefSeq and is a predicted model, not a curated record. Lineage: Eukaryota; Metazoa; Chordata; Mammalia; Diprotodontia; Phascolarctidae.